RNAcentral lists this ribosomal RNA (61 nucleotides) under Fructilactobacillus lindneri DSM 20690 = JCM 11027. RNAcentral's name for it is "Lactobacillus lindneri DSM 20690 = JCM 11027 23S rRNA. Bacterial LSU". The record is from RNAcentral. Lineage: Bacteria; Bacillati; Bacillota; Bacilli; Lactobacillales; Lactobacillaceae.
AGAAGUGGAAGCAUAGUGAUAUGUGAAGCGGACUAAUACUAAUCAGUCGAGGACUUAACCA